This 714-nucleotide ribosomal RNA is filed under the name uncultured bacterium. RNAcentral's name for it is "bacterial SSU rRNA". It matches the Rfam family "Bacterial small subunit ribosomal RNA", at positions 140 to 851 of the family's 1533-position model. The record is from RNAcentral.
GGGAUAACCCGGAGAAAUCCGGACUAAUACCCCAUAAUAUGGGCGCUCCGCAUGGAGAGUUCAUUAAAGAGAGCAAUUUUGGUUACAGACGAGCAUGCGCUCCAUUAGCCAGUUGGCGGGGUAACGGCCCACCAAAGCGACGAUGGAUAGGGGUUCUGAGAGGAAGGUCCCCCACAUUGGAACUGAGACACGGUCCAAACUCCUACGGGAGGCAGCAGUGAGGAAUAUUGGUCAAUGGUCGGCAGACUGAACCAGCCAAGUCGCGUGAGGGAAGACGGCCCUACGGGUUGUAAACCUCUUUUGUCGGAGAGUAAAGUACGCUACGUGUAGCGUAUUGCAAGUAUCCGAAGAAAAAGCAUCGGCUAACUCCGUGCCAGCAGCCGCGGUAAUACGGAGGAUGCGAGCGUUAUCCGGAUUUAUUGGGUUUAAAGGGUGCGUAGGCGGCACGCCAAGUCAGCGGUGAAAUUUCCGGGCUCAACCCGGAGUGUGCCGUUGAAACUGGCGAGCUAGAGUGCACAAGAGGCAGGCGGAAUGCGUGGUGUAGCGGUGAAAUGCAUAGAUAUCACGCAGAACCCCGAUUGCGAAGGCAGCCUGCUAGGGUGAAACAGACGCUGAGGCACGAAAGCGUGGGUAUCGAACAGGAUUAGAUACCCUGGUAGUCCACGCAGUAAACGAUGAAUACUAACUGUUUGCGAUACAAUGUAAGCGGUACAG